This 874-nucleotide ribosomal RNA is filed under the name uncultured organism. RNAcentral describes it as "bacterial SSU rRNA". It matches the Rfam family "Bacterial small subunit ribosomal RNA", at positions 1 to 875 of the family's 1533-position model. The record is from RNAcentral.
GGCUUAGAGUUUGAUCAUGGCUCAGGAUGAACGCUAGCGACAGGCUUAACACAUGCAAGUCGAGGGGCAGCACAGGUAGCAAUACCGGGUGGCGACCGGCGCACGGGUGAGUAACGCGUAUGCAACUUACCUAUCAGAGGGGGAUAACCCGGCGAAAGUCGGACUAAUACCGCAUGAAGCAGGGGCCCCGCAUGGGGAUAUUUGCUAAAGAUUCAUCGCUGAUAGAUAGGCAUGCGUUCCAUUAGGCAGUUGGCGGGGUAACGGCCCACCAAACCGACGAUGGAUAGGGGUUCUGAGAGGAAGGUCCCCCACAUUGGUACUGAGACACGGACCAAACUCCUACGGGAGGCAGCAGUGAGGAAUAUUGGUCAAUGGGCGUAAGCCUGAACCAGCCAAGUCGCGUGAGGGAUGAAGGUUCUAUGGAUCGUAAACCUCUUUUAUAAGGGAAUAAAGUGUGGGACGUGUCCUAUUUUGUAUGUACCUUAUGAAUAAGGAUCGGCUAACUCCGUGCCAGCAGCCGCGGUAAUACGGAGGAUCCGAGCGUUAUCCGGAUUUAUUGGGUUUAAAGGGUGCGUAGGCGGCCUUUUAAGUCAGCGGUGAAAGUCUGUGGCUAACCAUAGAAUUGCCGUUGAAACUGGGGGGCUUGAGUAUGUUUGAGGCAGGCGGAAUGCGUGGUGUAGCGGUGAAAUGCUUAGAUAUCACGCAGAACCCCGAUUGCGAAGGCAGCCUGCCAAGCCAUGACUGACGCUGAUGCACGAAAGCGUGGGGAUCAAACAGGAUUAGAUACCCUGGUAGUCCACGCAGUAAACGAUGAUCACUAGCUGUUUGCGAUACAGUGUAAGCGGCACAGCGAAAGCGUUAAGUGAUCCAUCUG